This is a non-coding RNA of Leptonychotes weddellii (Weddell seal), 6118 nucleotides long. NCBI's taxonomy places the organism in Eukaryota, Metazoa, Chordata, Mammalia, Carnivora, Phocidae. The record is from RefSeq and is a predicted model, not a curated record.
GCGAACCGGGCUUGGGGGGCGGCUGCACAGUCUCCGGGAUCCCCAGGCCUGGAGGGGGGUCUGCGCGCGGCCGGCUGGCAUUGCCCCCCUGUCCGGUCCCGAGCGGGCCUCCCUCGGGCCAGCCCGAUGUGACCGGGCCCAGCAGAGCCUGAGCAAGGAGCGGGUCCGUCGCGGAGCCGGAGGGCGGGAGGAACAUGACAUCGCGGAGAUGGUUUCACCCAAACAUCACUGGCGUGGAGGCAGAAAACCUGCUGUUGACAAGAGGAGUUGAUGGCAGUUUUUUGGCGAGGCCCAGUAAAAGCAACCCUGGAGACUUCACCCUUUCCGUCAGAAGAAAUGGUGCUGUCACCCACAUCAAGAUUCAGAACACUGGUGAUUACUAUGACUUGUACGGAGGGGAGAAGUUUGCCACUUUGGCUGAGUUGGUCCAGUAUUACAUGGAACAUCAUGGGCAAUUAAAAGAGAAGAAUGGAGAUGUUAUUGAGCUUAAAUAUCCUCUGAACUGUGCAGAUCCUACCUCUGAAAGGUGGUUUCAUGGACACCUCUCUGGGAAAGAAGCAGAGAAAUUACUAACUGAGAAAGGAAAACACGGUAGCUUUCUGGUACGAGAGAGCCAGAGCCACCCCGGAGAUUUUGUUCUGUCUGUCCGAACUGGUGACGACAAAGGGGAGAGCAAUGAUGGCAAGUCUAAAGUGACCCACGUCAUGAUCCGCUGUCAGGAACUGAAAUAUGAUGUUGGUGGAGGAGAACGGUUUGACUCUUUGACAGAUCUUGUGGAGCAUUACAAGAAGAAUCCCAUGGUGGAAACAUUGGGCACAGUACUACAACUCAAGCAGCCCCUCAACACAACACGUAUCAAUGCUGCUGAAAUAGAAAGCCGGGUUCGAGAACUAAGCAAAUUAGCUGAGACCACAGAUAAAGUCAAACAAGGCUUUUGGGAAGAAUUUGAGACACUACAACAACAGGAGUGCAAACUUCUCUACAGCCGAAAAGAGGGUCAGAGGCAAGAAAAUAAGAACAAAAAUAGAUAUAAAAACAUCCUGCCCUUUGAUCAUACCAGGGUUGUCCUACACGAUGGUGAUCCCAAUGAGCCUGUUUCAGAUUACAUCAAUGCAAAUAUUAUCAUGCCUGAGUUUGAAACCAAAUGCAACAAUUCAAAGCCCAAAAAAAGUUACAUCGCCACACAAGGCUGCCUGCAGAACACGGUGAACGACUUUUGGCGGAUGGUAUUUCAGGAGAACUCCCGAGUGAUCGUCAUGACAACGAAGGAGGUGGAGAGAGGAAAGAGUAAAUGUGUCAAAUACUGGCCUGACGAGUAUGCUCUAAAAGAAUAUGGGGUCAUGCGUGUUAGGAACGUCAAAGAAAGUGCUGCUCAUGACUAUACAUUAAGAGAACUUAAACUUUCAAAAGUUGGACAAGCUCUACUCCAGGGGAAUACAGAGAGAACCGUGUGGCAAUACCACUUUCGGACCUGGCCGGACCACGGAGUGCCCAGUGACCCUGGGGGCGUGCUGGACUUCCUGGAGGAGGUCCACCAUAAGCAAGAGAGCAUUAUGGACGCAGGGCCUGUGGUAGUUCACUGCAGUGCUGGAAUCGGCAGGACAGGGACGUUCAUUGUGAUUGAUAUCCUUAUUGACAUCAUCAGAGAGAAAGGCGUCGACUGUGACAUCGAUGUUCCCAAAACCAUUCAGAUGGUGCGGUCUCAGAGGUCAGGGAUGGUCCAGACAGAAGCACAGUACCGAUUCAUCUAUAUGGCCGUCCAGCAUUACAUUGAAACACUACAGCGCAGGAUUGAAGAAGAGCAGAAAAGCAAGAGGAAAGGGCAUGAAUACACAAAUAUUAAGUAUUCUCUAACGGACCAGACAAGUGGAGAUCAGAGUCCCCUCCCGCCUUGUACCCCAACACCGUCUUGUGCAGACCCGUCCUAGAACGCAGCUCCUGGGGCCUGUGUCUGCACCGUAUCGGGUCCUCAAAGAAUGGAAAUGAGAGAAGAUAAUGCUAGAGUCUAUGAAAACGUGGGUCUGAUGCAGCCGCAGAAAAGUUUCAGAUGAGAACACCCACCAGGACGUCAGCACAGACCUAGAUGUGGACCUUUACCCUCUCCCUAAAAAGAUCAAGACCAGACGCAAGAAAGUAUGUGUGAAGAAUGAUUUGAAUUUGGAAGGCUUGUGUUGUGGUUGACUACCUUUGGAUAAGCAAAACUCGAAACCAUUUAAAGACCACUGUAUUCUAACUCAACAAUACCUGAUUACCAAUUACUCAUUUCCUCAGAUAAGAAGAAAUCGUCUCUACAAUGUAGACAGUGUUAUAUUUCAUAGAAUUUUAUUUUAAAUUGAGGAAGCAGUUAAUUGUGCUCUUGUGUUUUACAGAUGACGGUGAUUCAAAUUCUACUUAUUGGCAUUUUCUUCUCUUUUUAUAACCUUAAAAAUUCAAUUAUUUUUCUCUUUGUGAGGGAUGACAGGGCACUUAUAAGAGGAAAAACGUUUUGGGAAGGGUGACAACAUCCCGUGGGAGUGAGAACAGUUUCAUUUAUCAUUGCUUAUCCAGUAGUGGAAAAGUCAUUUGAUGGCCUCUUUUUUUGGCUAAAUGAUCAUUAAGCCAGUGGCCCCAGACUGUCAGAAGUCGACUCUCUACCUUUGCAUUGCCAUUAAAAAAUCAUGGGAAAAAAGAAUCAUGGAAACUUGGGAGGAAAGGUGUGUUUUCUUCUUAGCGGAUCGCCAGUUACCAUUCAGCCUGUUGGCUGAGAAGGAGGUGGUGGGAAAAUGUUUGUCAUGUUUUCUUUUCGUUUGAGUCAUCGUCUUGUAUUUAGAAAAAGCGCAUCUGUGGAUAACCAACCAGUGUCGUGGUUAUCGAUUGUUGGUGACAAACCACCCCAAAAUGCAGUGGCUGAAACCAUACUUCUUUUGUUUGCCUCCUCCCUGUUCUUCUUCAAUCUGGGCUGGGCUCAGCUGAGCUGUUCCUGUCCUCUCGCUGGUGUUGCCCGUGUGGUCAGCUGGUCGCCCAAAGACACUGGGAUGGCUGGGCUUCUUUCUGCAGGUCCCCAGGCCUCUCCUCCAUGCGAUGGCUCCAAGGGGCCCCGCCAGCAGGGUAGCUGGACCGCUUACAUGGCAGCUCAGAGCUCCCAAGGGUAUCAAGCAGCAAUGGCCAGGCCUUCUUAAGACUUAAACCCAGAACUUCUACUGCCCUCUAUUGAUUAAAGCAUCACAGGCCCAGCCCAGAUUCAGGAAGGGGGGAUGGCACGAGGGCAUGAGGCAGAGGUGUGAUUCACGGGGGGCCCCCCAGAGUAAUAGGCUGUCAGAACCAGUUUCACAGGAAAACAGCAAUUGUUAGCAAAAGUAGAAGCUGCUGGUGACGUUGGGAAAUGGAAGCUGCUUCUAAUAGCUGGUGUAAGCUGGAAGUCAAACUGAGAAAUAGAGGGCCUUCUAGAAGCUUCCUGAACCACUUCUGCUGGCUCUGAGCAUAUUUUCUGAGCCAUCACUUGGGGAAACUGGUCUCGUAAGGAUGGAUGUGUUGAGGGGGCAGAGCAUCUGAAAGCAGAACUACCCUGUCCCGGGGCCCCCCGCAGAGGGCAGUGCUUCCUCCCUGCCCGUGGUUUCAGGCAGGCUGCAGCCCAGAGGGGGUGCUCCUCAUGAGGCCUUGCCUCAGACUGAAUUAGCAGUAGUUCAUUUUGGUUCUAAUCAAGCAGUAAGAUUUGCUACCGUUCUACCUGAAGUGCCUUCUCCAAAGACAUCCUCUUUGCCCUGUGCGUGGAAUCAGCCUUCAGUGAGUAUGUUUCAAUGGAAGUGUCAUUGGUUGACUUUGUAAAGAUAAUAAAAUGCCACGGUGACUUGGCCAUAAGGUUACGGUCUCCUCACGCAGAUUCUUCUGGCUUUGGCUCCCGAUCCAGCCCCGGUAGUACUUCUGUUCUGAGGUCUUUACCUCCCGUGAAACCUUGAGGUAGUUUGGGGACUGCCUUCGCUGCCAUUUUCACAGAUAAAAUGCACAUUGACCCCCCCUCCACCCCCCUAUUGAGCCUAGAAUGGCUUUAGAACGCAGGUGUGGCCCAGAGGUAAUUACCUUCUAAGGUAAUUACCUUCUAAUUCUAAGGGGAAUGUCAAUAACUGCUGUCUUCUUGUCAAGCUUGUAAAGAAAGAGAUUCCAGUUCAGUAUGUGCAACAACGAUCUUGAAUCCUGUUCUUUUUAUUGCAUUGUCACAUUGAAAUUUUCUAGUUUGCCUUGAUUUUGUGGUACAGUUGAGACUCUGGACUUUGGGGGCCAAGUCUUUCACCAGCAUACAAGGGUUUGAUUGUACAAAUAUAUCUGCUGCAUUAACGUCUCCGCCUGUAGCUUAAGAUCAAGUUGUUUUGUGCUUGGAACAGAAACGCCUGAUCUCGGCUAGCUUUGUUUGUUACAGGACAUUGAUUUCAUUUAGAUUUCCCUCCACGAAGUCAGCAAACUAUCAUGUUAUGUAAACUUCUGCCAAGACAAGAUUGUAGUAGUCCCGAGGUUGUUGAGGUUUGUCGUGUGUCUGGUGAAAAGGGGAUUGCAGGUUCUCAGAUGAGAUUGCUCUCCCCGAGUUGGAGUCAGGGAGAGAGGCCGUGAAGAUGUGGGGAGCUGGAGGUGCAGGUGUUAAAAAGUAGUGGAAAUGAAAGUUCGAAAGAGGUGGUUUGUGAGGAGGUCAGAGGGCGCGGGGCCAGCGCAGUCAGAACUUGAGUAGGUUGAAUCAGGUUACCUGGCAAGUAGGUGUGAUAGAUACAGGGAUGCAGGCUGCUCCCGGGUUGCUGGUAGACAUUAAAUUUGCACAAUAUCCCGUAGCUGGUUGAGUAUUUUAAAAUGAUAAGCAUAGGGUUUUAUAUUUGGGGUGAAGAAAUUAUCUGACACAUGGUAUUGGGGUUUUUUUAAAACAAAUUUCAGAGUCUUAAGAGCUUUUUUUUAAAAAUAAAUAAAUAAAUAAAAAAGACACCUCACCUCCAGUGUGUGACCCUCCUGAAAAUCACGGACCUCUCUCCCAUUGAAUCAGUGACUUUUCAGAUGUGGCUAAAUGGGGAUGAGAAAAUUGCCGUAUGACUUUCUUGGUGUUUGUACUUUCUUUAUGGAGCCUAGUUGCUUUGGAACAGCCAAGAAGAUUAUCAAGAUUAUUUUUAGGGGCUAUUUUACUGGGGAUCUGAAGAACUAAUAUGACAUCCUGGGUUAUUUCUAGUUCGGGGGGAAUGUGGAAAGAGUAUGCAAUUGUGAAGUGUUUUGUUGUAGCUUAUUAAUCCAUAAGGGGAACUUAGACUGUAGACAUAAGGACACACCCAGUACAGUUUCUGUUUUCUGUAUGUUGUUGGCGCAAUAAAGUUUUAUAUAGCAAGCACAUGGCCUCCCUGAUUUCAAGAUGCCUUUAUUAGGAUCUGUAUUAGCCCUUAAUGUUGUUGAAACCUUUCUCCCUCUUCCUCUUGAAAAAUAAGUUCCAAAAUACAGUUUAUUGUAUCUUCCAUCAUUGAAAAGUUUGUUCUUUUUUCACUAUGGGCAGUUCACACAAGGCAAAAAUAUUAAACAGUUGGUUUUAGUGUGUUGUAUAACUUUACUGUAUAUCAAACUAAUUUCUACAAGUUUUCAUCCUAAACCUCAAAUCAUGUAAUUAAUAAUUUGCCUGUUUAUUUAUGACAUAAUUGUGAUUCUUUUAUUAAUAAAAGCUAACGGAAAAGGAUCCUUUAUUAAGCUGAUGACUAGACCUACAUUUAAUUUUCCUGCAUUAUAUGAAGUAUUGUACCAGAGUAUUAAAAGAUAUGUAAUAUUUUAUUGAUAAAUCUAUCCUUUAAAAGGAAUACAUUUUAGGAUGUCAUCAUUUUGAUGUGAAUCAUGUAAAUGUUGAUAAUAUGCACUGUUUAUUAUACAUUUAGUGUUUCAAGACAUUCACUUAAUUGCCUUUUUGCCCACGUAUUAUGUAGUCUGUUUGCAAUUGUUUUUAAAAAAUGACAUGAAAAGAAUAGUUUAUGUAGAGAAACAUUAGUGGAUGUUAAUUGUCUCCCCACCUGUAUUUAUGGGUGUUAGUUCAACUGCGUUGCUAGUUGCAAAGCCGUAUUAUCAGAGUAAACGUGUAUUUGUAAACUGUAUGGGAACUAAGAAUUAGGAAUAAAACCAUUUUCUUAUAUUA